Molecule: ribosomal RNA, 253 nt
Filed under: uncultured bacterium
Lineage: Bacteria
Description: partial 16S ribosomal RNA
Rfam family: Bacterial small subunit ribosomal RNA
Source: RNAcentral
UACGUAGGGGGCAAGCGUUGUCCGGAUUUAUUGGGCGUAAAGAUCUCGUAGGCGGUUCCGUAAGUCGGGUGUGAAAAAUCUGGGCUCAACCCAGUGGAGCACCCGAUACUGCGGUGACUCGAGUCCGGUAGGGGAGUGUGGAAUUCCUGGUGUAGCGGUGAAAUGCGCAGAUAUCAGGAGGAACACCGACGGCGAAGGCAGCACUCUGGGCCGGUACUGACGCUGAGGAGCGAAAGCAUGGGGAGCGAACAGG